UGAUAGCUGUGAAGCGUGAGGUUGCUGCUUGAAUAAAGCAGGUUUUCCGUGGAGCGAAUGUCAAUGCUGGAGAUAAUCUCC
RNAcentral lists this non-coding RNA (81 nucleotides) under uncultured Lachnospira sp. RNAcentral describes it as "S10-Clostridia ribosomal protein leader". It matches the Rfam family "S10-Clostridia ribosomal protein leader". The record is from RNAcentral. Lineage: Bacteria; Bacillati; Bacillota; Clostridia; Lachnospirales; Lachnospiraceae.